AAAUGGUUUUCGAAAACUUACCGUGGCUAACUCUUAAAACCCAGCCACUACUGAGAAUUUUAAAUACAUCCAAUCCACAUUACAUUACAUAUUUUUGGCAGUUGUCAAAAGUAACAUAGCUGCACUUAUUAGCGGCUCUUUUUCAAAUACCGAGU
Molecule: long non-coding RNA, 155 nt
Organism: Bradysia coprophila
Lineage: Eukaryota; Metazoa; Arthropoda; Insecta; Diptera; Sciaridae
Source: RefSeq, a predicted model, not a curated record